Molecule: ribosomal RNA, 274 nt
Filed under: uncultured bacterium
Lineage: Bacteria
Description: partial 16S ribosomal RNA
Rfam family: Bacterial small subunit ribosomal RNA
Source: RNAcentral
AUACGGAGGGUGCAAGCGUUACUCGGAAUCACUGGGCGUAAAGCGCGCGCAGGCGGCUAUUUAAGUUGGAUGUGAAAGCCUACGGCUCAACCGUAGAACUGCAUCCAAAACUAUUUAGCUAGAGUGUGGGAGAGGAAGAUGGAAUUAGUUGUGUAGGGGUAAAAUCCGUAGAGAUAACUAGGAAUACCAAAAGCGAAGGCAAUCUUCUGGAACACUACUGACGCUGAGGCGCGAAAGCGUGGGGAGCAAACGGAAUUAGAAACCCCGGUAGUCC